This 251-nucleotide ribosomal RNA is filed under the name uncultured bacterium. RNAcentral's name for it is "partial 16S ribosomal RNA". It matches the Rfam family "Bacterial small subunit ribosomal RNA", at positions 1250 to 1500 of the family's 1533-position model. The record is from RNAcentral.
CCAAGUCGUGAGGCGGAGCUAUCCUUAAAGCCAUUCUCAGUUCGGAUUGUAGGCUGAAACUCGCCUACAUGAAGCUGGAGUUACUAGUAAUCGCAGAUCAGAAUGCUGCGGUGAAUGCGUUCCCGGGUCUUGUACACACCGCCCGUCACACCGCGGAAGUUGGGGGCGCCCGAAGCCACUUAGCUAACCCAUUUGGGAAGCGAGUGUCGAAGGUGAAAUCAAUAACUGGGGUGAAGUCGUAACAAGGUAGC